Xyrichtys novacula (pearly razorfish) is the source of this 13624-nucleotide non-coding RNA. NCBI's taxonomy places the organism in Eukaryota, Metazoa, Chordata, Actinopteri, Labriformes, Labridae. The record is from the annotation of a GenBank genome assembly.
GGCACAUAACCUUUUUUUCCCCUCACCAUCUAACAUUAAAUCAGAUUAAACUUUUCCUGUUUUUGGUCAAUUAGGAUUACCAAAAUCAUUUUUAUUUGCUAAAUGCCAGAAUAAUGAGAUAUUUACUACUAUUUCUCGAGAGUCAAACGUUUACAAACAUUUCAUCAAUAUUUGGAAGCUGCCUUUAAUCGUACGACUUGGGUCAAAUGCCUUGGAUAUGCUUCCACAAGCUUCUCACAAUAGUUUUCAGGAAUUUUGGCCCAUUUCUCCUGACAGAACUGGUGUAACUGAGCCAAGUUUGUAGGCAGACUUAUAUAGUGUAUGUAAACUUCUGGUUUCAACUGUAUGUUGCAAGAAAAGACAAAUCAAAGUUCUUUUAACUUAAAAAAAAAAAUUAAAGCUAUGACAAAGUUUUGGAGGUGCUGAAUCACUUUCCCUGUAUAAACCUGACCACACGUUCAUUCGGUUCAUAUUAAAUGCAAAACUAAAGUAAUAGUUAAUAGCUGGGCAGUAAUGUUUCCGCACCUGCUCCCAUAUGCCGGUAGGAUCACUGUUGGCCACUAAUCACACCUCCUCUGAUCCAGCACGUACACGUGACGAGCCCAUAUUGAAAUCAAACCGGUUCCCUCCUUCAUCCUGUAACUGGCUGCUUGACAGACGCUGCAGAUUCUAAUUGGCUCAGGGAGAUGUCCGUCAAACUAAAUUCCAUCGCUGUUGUCUUAGAGAUAUGACGUCAAAUAUAUCUAAUGUGAUGAGGCUGAGCAGCAGCAGAGUAAUUCGGGGAAAUAUUUGUCCAAAUGUGGUCAGUCCUGACAAAAACUGGUCUCAGUCUAGUUCUUGUUUUUGUUGUUUACUCCUGCCGGUCAGCUCUGCCAAGAUUCCCAAAAGUUUGGGACAGUGUAAAUCCCUGUUUUAAACUGUAGUUAUGGAGGAAUCAGCAAUGUAUGGAAAACUAAUGUAUGUUACUGUAAUACUCAUUGGAGGAGUUUGUGUGUCAUGUCCUGCUUUAGUUUGCGUUACAGAAUUGACAGUAACUUGAACUAGGGUAGGCUACUUUUUUCAUGUUUUGACAGUGGAGUGUGUGCUUGUGAGUGUAGUUAACAGGAGUGUGUAUGUCUGUGAAAGUGAGGGAGAGAGAGAGAGAGAGAGCGAGAGGGAGGGAGAGGGAGAGGGAGGGAGGCAGUUCGUCAGAUAAGGGGAGGAGUCUUUCACUGACAAGAGGGAGACUGGCUUUUCUGAGUUUGUCAGCUCCCCCUAAAAUAGCAGUCAGCGUGUAAAUGUGAACUGAAAUUACGUUUAUCCACUGGAGCCACCGAUAUAGAGUGUCUAUACUCAGCGACUGACUCGGGAGUAAAGGUGAGUAACGGAAAUAGAAACAAUGUUACGGAGUGUGGCAGCGGUACUGUAGCUACGGAGAGUGAGAGUAGAAAAGCGCAAGAGGGAGACGUAGAGUGGAUUUCAGAGACGGAGGAGACGUAAACUGUAGCCUACAUCUCUGUCUGUUUUCCUAUCUGUUUUCACCGGCAUACAUGAAGAAUAUGACACGGGACGAAGUUAAGAGGUUGUUUAAUGUCACUGUUAUCUGUCGUUUUAGUUCAUAAGCGAGGUUUUUGUGCCACUGGACAUCAAAACUGCCUAUUCAAAGGGUGGAUUUAGACGAGCGCGCGCUGUUGAUAUCUGUCAAUCGCGAGAAACUUUUACACGAAUCAUACUGAAUGUAACACGCUGUCAGUGGGACUCUCUCUAAAUCUUUACUCAUAUAUAUAUUUUUAAAUGUAAAGGUCUGAAAAAAAAAUCCCAGCACAUUUUUGUCGGACUGAAAGUAGGCAUAUAUCUACUUUUUUAAACAGGCGCACCUUUAAGAGCAAAAUAGUAAUUAAUGUGUUUCUGACAACACUGUUGAGCUAUCACAACAGCAGCAGGCUCAGUUCACACAGUGAAUAUAAUAGAAGCUUCAGCCUAAUACAGAGUUCACUGCAAAGUUUAUGUUUACUGACAACUUCUAAGAACGUGUAAGACAGCUUGAAUCAAUAAAACUAACUUUACAUGAUCAUUAUAUCAUUUUGAAUAUGGCUACUUAAAGUAUUUAUAUUUUAUAAUUUCUUUAUGUUAAUGGAAUUGACAUGUAAAUCAUGCUGGUCAGCCUGUGCAAAUUGAUGUGAUUUACACUCAUGUAUUACAGACAUGAUGUAGGAAAUGUUCCCUGGGCAACUACAGGCGUAUCAUACUAUAAUUCAAUACAGCAAACCAAGAGGAGUCAACUUGAUCAAAAGUAUAAGUUGUGGCAUAAUAUAUAAAGCAUUAUCAUGUGGUGCUUUACAUAUGAUCCCCUUAAAGGAAACCACCCCGUGUUUACUUUAAGAGGGGUUUGAUCAAGGCGCUUAAUGACUGGCCAAAGCUGAAACAAGGGAAUUAUCCUCUGUGAAGUGUGAAAAAUAAUUUUCUGUCUAAAUAUGCCUCUUUUUAGAUCCAAAAUCGCACAUUUUUAUUGGUUUAAGUAACAGGCUAUGACAACAGUUACAGAAUAUAAAGAAUAGUCCUUAUUGGCAGUUGGAUAUCACAGUUUAAGAGAGAGGAUCUUUGCUGCCUGACGGUUUCUCUGGACCUCCAGGACUCCCGUGACCUUAAGCCCCGGCCAGAGUACGCAAUAGCUAACAGUAACCUGACCUUCUCAAAUGUUUCUAAUGAAUGUGUACACCAUUGAUGUCUCAUUAAUAUUGCACUGAGGGAGGAGACUUAUUCCAGUUGUAUCAAAAAAUGCCAGCAGUAUGACCUAAAGUUAUUUUCUAUUCAUUUAAUUUAAAAUGAACAAAUGUUUCAAUGUCUUUCUUUAGUUAGGUUUUUUUUGCAACUUAUUUUUUGAAAUAAUACUCCAUAAUUUGUCAUUUGGCAAAUUUCAACAGUAUCCUUAUAUGUUGCUCUGACUCUAUUGUGAAAGGAGUUCAUCAGAGACACGAGUUGUCGCAGCAGGAUAACUUGUACUUCUCUUGGUCUGUUUUAUGUUCUGAUGGCAUGUACAUUAGCAGCUGGUUGCCAGUGAUUUCUAAAGCAAAGCAGUAAAGCACCCUCCAAUCUGCAGUCAUUAGCUUCUGUGCUGCCCCGGGCCUCGCCUGUAAUGGGCCUUGUUGCUCAUGAUCCACAUCACGUGAGCUCUUAUAUCUAAUGUGUGGAUGAGGGCUUCUUUCAGCGCUGCUCAGAUGAAUAUCAUUUUAACAAUUUAUGUUGUCUAUUAGUCAAAGAAAUGAAUAUGAUGUCUGUGAAGGCACAGAUUGAGCCAGCAUGACUGCAUGCAGUGAGCUGUUGCUUUAACCUCAGAGACCCCAAAUGUUCCACCUUCAGAUAACACAAAUGCGCACACAGAUUUGAUCAUUUGUAUAUUUUAUCUCACCCCUCAUCAUUUAAUCAACAGUAUUAUGUUGGAGGAUUGCAAACUCGAUGGAUGAUUUUCCAGGGUGACUACGUCUGUUUAUGAAACGUUCUAGCCUUGUUACAUGUCCUGUUUGUGCGCUCCUGCAUGUCUCUGUAAAUGUGUGUAAGUGCUUGUUAGCGUUUCAGCACAAGUUCUCGGUGCAAAGGGAGAAAUGAGAGGUGGUGACGGUGUGAGGAACGGGCAGCUGCAGCAUCUUUUGCUGCACUCCUCAUCCCACUUCAAUCUCAGUGUCUCAGCUUCUCCUUCCAGGAGAAAUGUGGAGUGUGUGGGCGAGUCAGAUCUGCAAUUAACGCUGGUUGUCAGAAAGAGAAUGCUGGCGUUUACUCGAUGCCUCUGAAUCACUGAGUGAAAGUCUUUCUCGUCCACUCUCCUCCUCCCAGGACAUUUUUUUUUUUAUUCCAAGAAGGACAAAACACCAGAAAGCGGAAAGCCAAGGAUGUUUUGAAUGAAAACUUUAAUAUACAUUCUGAAAAUUCUUGGUCCACCAAAGCGGAAAGUGUUUCUAUGAUUGUUUGGUAAGCCAGAAAUGUCUCUAUUUUCACUGUGAUUGAGCUUCAGCAGUUGUGAAUUUUGUAAUGUGGAAACAGAUUUGUUAUCUGUAUUUUACUAACAUGAUUUGGGCUUUAUUUAUACUUUUACUUAAUUUGAUAUGUGAAGCAACACAGGCUGGCUGUUUUCUAAGAGUAAGCUUUGAGUGCAGUGUUCUAGUAUCUUGGCUCGUUUGUUGAUGAUACUUGUUAAAGAGGUCCUUAAAAAAAAAUCACAGUUUGGCUUGGUUAACAGGAAAAUGCUUUCAGGUGAUGAACACCCCUCUUCAUCUUUUAUUGAUUAGUAUCUUUCCUUCUUUUCUGCAAAAGAAAAAAAAUACUUUCCAACUUUCUCCCUGCCUAACAAAAGCAUAUUAGCAAGAUGAUUCAUUGUUUAUUGGAGCUGUAUCAUCAAUAUGGAGAUUCCAGCGUUUUCCUGUGAGACCUGGAGGUUGGAUGCAGAAUUUGGAGCCUUGCAGAUAAUGUUUUAGGCUGCAGUUAACUGUAGACUGUCCCCUGUAGACCGAAGAGAAAAAGAGUGGAAAAAGACUUUUAAUGUUCAUGCAGUGUUGCUAGUGUCAACUUUAAGCUGAAAAAUGAAACUAUAUAUACUGCCUUUAUAUAUUUUUUCUCUUUCCAAGUUCAGAUAAUGCUAAAUAGGUCACAAACCACUUUUUAUUGGACCUGCUAUGUUCAGUUUCUUGCCAUCUCUGUGGGGUGCUUGUAUGUGCUGUAUGUAUUAGACAGGAUGCAAAUGUGCAGUGAUCAUGAGCCGUGGUUGGUAUAUUGGACAGCGUGAACUUGCUAAGAACAAUUCACAGUUUUACAUGAAGUUUUUGGCUCAGAGUUGAAGGAAUUUUUACUCAAAGAAUCAGAAUUUAGUUUUUCCUUUUUAAACUUUUUUUUUUUUUUUUUAAUGAAAGUAAGUCAACUUUUGAAAAGAUACAAGGCGUUUUUUGAAAAUAUCUUUUCAAGUAUUUUUUCUUUAAAGACAAUAUCACCUUAUAAUAACAUAACCUCCUACAAUCAAUAUUUAAAAAAACCUCCAGUGUAAUUGUGGCGAUCAAAUAGGCUGAUGUAAGCUCAGAGGAUGAAUGUAUGACUUGCUGAGGCUCUGUUUGUAUAGCAGGACAGCUUGCGGUGACCUUUCAACUGUCCUGCCCUUGACUGAGACCUCUGCUGGUAAGCCACCUCUUUGGCUCACUCAGCACAUGUGCUGCUGAGCAGGGCAGAGCAGCUUAAGGCCGCCGUCUUUUCCUGUCUCCCCCUGCUCUUCCAAACGAGGCCUGACUGGAGGUCUCUUCACCUCUGCAACCUGGACUACAGCGGGGAGCCAGCGGGGUAAGAUCCUGGAGUAGAGCCGCACUCUAAAUCUGCUGCUAAUCUGCUUUCACCACUAUGAUCCCAGUCUGUCGUUCACUCUACAAACUGGUUGCAGAUUGUGAGUAAGUACAAACAUGUAGAGCCACAGAUAUUGAAGUAACCCUAAAUAACAAUACUGCUCAGCUUGUGUGCAUUCUUCAGAUGUUGAGCCUUUGUUAUAUUACAAAAAAUAACCAUACAGCUACUUCGUAAAGUCAGAGAGCAGGGCUAGCACACUCUGUGGUUUCGGGAGAGUAGUCUGUGGAGAAUGUGGUGGGGCAAAGGUGAUGAUUUCGAGAAGACAAGUCAUUUAGCACCCGUAGAAGAUGCCUCUUCCUGCUUUUUGUUUUUCUGGAGUGCAAUAGAAACCACUCUUUCACACUAUUGUCAUCUCAAAAGUAAGUGCGCUACACUACAGUGGCACGUAACCUCACUGUGUGUCCUGUGGUUUGGUUAGUCGCCUUUUAAUUAUUUUUUUGCUGUAAAGGAUACUUGCCUGUUUGAAACUGUGAUAGUGGUGAGGGACUUUGUUGCUCCACAAUGCCAUGGUAAUGUUAAGUCGAAUUGAGCAGAAAGCUAAACUGCAAAGGAAGUUAAGAAAGACAUCUCUUUGCUGAGUUGCAUUUUAACUGAAUUUUAAUGAGACUGUGAAAAAACAUAAAUCAAAGGAAUAUAUUAUAAUCUAAUUUACUAGAUCAAAAGAUCUCCCAUGAUUGCUAAUAUACCCCACUGUAUAGAGUUCCUGAUGUUCUACUGUAGAUCUUAAAAAGCGUCUCUCACUGGAGAUUUCACCACCCUGCCUCUGUACAGAGUCGACUGAGUCGAGGCAUCUAAACAGACAAACAAUUGAAUUAUGUGCAAAGUAAACUUUCUUCAAAGUCUGUUUUUUCUUUGUGAUGAAGCUGUUUAUUGUAUCCGUGAUAAAAAAGACUUGAAUUUGAAACCAUUCGUUCUAAUAGUGAUCAAAGAAAUGCUAUAUCUUGAAAGCAAAUGCACCUGUCAGUGGAUGCUGACCAUCAUUUAUUAACCAUUAACCACCAAAUUCGACCUUUUUGUUCAUUCCUUCUCCAAAGAGAGGAUUGCACCACAGUAACAGGGUUUUCUGGACAUAGGGCUUCAGGUUGGCUGAGAGAAUGUGGCUUAGCUGCUCAGUUAUGGCAAAAAUAAACAAUUAUUGCAAUUGAUAGUUAGAUCAUUAUUAUUAAACAUUAUUCUGAGUAUGGACCAACUUUGCUCACUGUUUAGCCCGCCCAUCAUCAGCUGGUUUACUCUUGCAAACAGUAAGGCCCCUCUCUCCUCAUGCUCACUGUAUUGCUCUGCUUUACUUACACACAUCUGCUCCUCCCGCUUGUCUUCCUGGCAGUACUACACAUCUCUCCCUUCCCCGCCUGUGGCCACGUGAUGGUUUGUACCGCUGUGGCACAACAUGUUGAAGAUACAGCAGUCCCCACCUAACAUAUUUUUUGGCAUCCAUAACUUCUUGGCGUCCUCAAACCUUGUUGCACACUGAUCUAAGCUGUUAAUUAUGAAGUUCAUCUUCAGCCAAAAGUAUUACACUCAGCUCAGCUGUUUUCUAGAUGUGUAUUGUUUUUAGCGUUUGCCCAAGCUGUUAAAUAUCAGCCAUAAUACUGUGUGUCUAUCCUUUAAAUGCAGUCGUGUUUGAGGGGUAUCCUAUAUUGGCCAGUGCUAAAGUCGAGGCACUGGUGUCACGGAAGAAAAUUCUUGGUAUUACAAGAGUUUUAAAAUCUCAUGAAUGUUUAACCAAAGGAAGUGUUUUUAUCUAUGGUGUGUGUAGUUAAACCAGCUGUAGGACCUGGGUUUCAGCUCCUACAGCGUGCACAUUGACUGAAAGUCCAGUAGCUGCUGGAAGGAAGACUUAGAUCUCCUGCAGCUGCUGGACUGACCCUGUGGCCUCCCAUGCCGCAGGAAAGAGGCCUGGCCUGCUAUAUUGUUGUUAUUCUGUUUGUCUGAGGAGCCAUGUGAACCAAGACAGCUGGGGGGGAUGAUUCCUCCCAUUAUUCUGCCCUACACAUCAGUCGUAUGAACUAGGAAGGGAAGUGACCCAGCCCCCCUCUGCUCUGUGGAAGCUGCUCCAGUCCACCGCAGGGCUCUGACUGCCGGUUCAAAGUUGCCUCCUUCUCUGCUGUGAGGGCUGAACUCAAGCAGCAUGAAGACUAAAAUGCCUUAUGGGUUUUCUUUUUAGCAAGAAAAUGAGUUUCCAACUUGUCAUACACUGUUCAGAAUCCAGUUUGUUUAUGUUUUGUUUCCAGGUUCUGGAUAACGAAUAUGUGUUGUUAACCCUGUGUGUAUAAGGGGAAUUAAAAACCCCCAUUAAGUGUCACUUUAACUAGAGAUGUUCCUGUGCCUUAUCACUUCGGAUCUUCAUUCAAACUCUGGGGUAAGAGUUCGUACUUGAACUGUAAUGUGUCGUUCAAGCUUAAGCAUAAUAAUACAGUAUACCAACACAUCAUGCUGCUAAAGUACCUUGCAUCAUGAUCCAGAAUAGGGCACUUUCAUUUUAACUUGGCAAAUCCAUGCACUCUUGACCUCAGUAAACUAAUACGGUAAUAUUCAUCUACAGAUAAUAAAGGUAAACAAAAUAACUGAUAGUUAUAUGAUUUCAGUGCCGCAUGCCAGUUAUAUGUUUUGUCUGAGCUGUAGCGCUGCUACCUGCCACGAAUGGUGCGUUUGUUAUGUUAAAAACUGACCUUACUCAUGUUUCCACUCUCAAGUGUACGUCAGAAAGGAUGUGUGUUGGUUGUGUGACCGUUUGGAACUAGUUGAUUCCCAUGAUAGUAUGUGAGACCAAUUAUCAACCAGUCGCUUUGCUAGGUAACAGAAGGCUCAACAGAAAAGUGAUAAGUUGAGAGCUGUGCUGGCUUCGAAUCAGCUAUAUAUUGACUGGUGGUGCUAGCUCUGCUAACAAUAUCCCCAUUGGACAAAGCAAUUUGACAUUUUUUACCUACAGACUCUCCAGUCCUACAUGCUGCUGUGUAAGUUUCUGCCCCAUAUACUUGUUUUCUUGUUGUCUUGGUGUAGACUAGUUAAAUUUCUGUUAAAAUAAAAUUGGUCACUUAGGAGCAUCACUACCUGAAAUAGCUUGAGCUUUCGGGGGUUUAAUAGAUAAACCCAUAAGAUUCUUGUAUUGACAAGUGUACUUGCCAACCAGAUACCCUCACAUCCUGUCACGCAGUGGUGCAUUUUAGACAAUGUCAGAGGCCUAUACUGAUUCUGAUAAGACCAACAAGACCAAGCAGGGUUUAAAUUCUUCAUCUUUUACAGGUAAGCAACCUCAGCCUGUUAAUAAUGGGAAUUUACACUCUUUUUAGCGAUCUAGACCAUUUUGCUCAGCAAGAUGUGUCUGUCUCGGCUCAAAUGGCAUUUUAGAGAAAGGUCUUCUAUGACAUAGAUCUUUUCCCCAACUUUGUAUAGUUAGUGGGGGUGGGAGAAAAAAUCGAUACAGCAUAGUAUCGCGAUAUUUUGUCUGGUGAUGUAUCGUAUUGUCGGGGAAUUCCCUCACUGCAACAGCCUUACUUAUCUAAAUGAUCGGCACAACUCCUCUUUCUGUUUCACCCGCGUUGCUCUCACUUAUUCUGCUUCUGCUAAUAUUUACAUUUCAUUUCAGGUGAAAACAAAUCUUUAAACAAUCAAGGGCAUUUAGAGAGUAUUAUCAUUAUAUCUCCAGUCACUUGAUCCCAGCUCUCUAUAGUGUGACUGAGAUUGUGAGCGAGGUGUUGAGACAGCCCGCUGUUUCUGUGUCUGCCCGUCUGUCCUCUCCUUUUCUCCCAGUCCACUUUCCAUCUGUGUGCUAUGGGCUGCAAAUCUAGUAGGAAACGGUGUAGUGUUUCCACUGGCGAGCUAUCGCCUGCCUGUACGCAUGUCAGACUGUGUUGUUCUUGAUUUUGUUCCCUUGCUCCCCUCAACCUGACUGGUCUGACAGUCUGGUGUUUCAGAGCGUUUGUAGGAGUCCGGAGUAAGAAGGGGGGCAGGGUGGCAUCCAUCAUCAGCCGGCUGGCCCUGAGACUCAGAACCAGAGGCUAUCAGAAAACAGUCAGACUGAAAAGAUUCCUGGAGAGGCAAGCAGCAGCAGGGCCUGUGGGGGUCUCUCUUUCUUCCUCUGCCUCUGUCCUCCCUCUCUCUCUAUCACACUGUUUGCACACAGUGUUCAUGUGACAGCUAGCACACAUCAUCUGAUUUGGGAGUAACUGUUUGCUGCAGCUGCAGAGAAAACUCAGAGUGAACACUGCUCAUACAGUUGUAGUUAUUGAGAUAGACAUACGGUGGACAUGGUUACUAUUAAAACACAUUGUUAACAAACAGACAGACAGACAUACAUGUAUCUACAUUUUUGUACAUCUGCCAGCUUUUUCACUGUAUUAAAACUAUGAAUAAGUUAGUAAACUGCCUUAAUUUUGAUAUAUUAGAUAGAUUAUGGUAAUAACAAACCUGCACAAGAGCUUUUACAGACUUAUUCUUUGACAUAAAACUGCAAGAAAAGAAAAUCAAUGCUACUUUGGCCAGCCCCUUUCACUGUUGUUAUGACUCAUGGCCAUCCUCACUGCUCAGAUUGCAUAAACCUUUUAUGUAAUGGAACACUGUGGGAGAGAGGCAUCGAGUGGAAGAUAAAAAUGGGAAGACAAAAUCAAAUAUUUAUCCUUGGCUUUUUAAUUUUUUUCCAUUAAAAAAGAGACAUUCUUCAAAAGCAAAGUGAUCCUGAACAUCACGGACUACAUGUAUGUCAAACAAAAAACUGUUGUUUUUAUUCAAAUCUUCCUGCUGAUCAUCAAACUCCAGGGGAGAAGUGAAUAUCUGAAAUCUCAGUGCCUAAUCUGGAAACACAGUACUUCCAAAGACGUGUUGAGAUCCUGUAAAUGUGCUGCUGCUGAGACACAUUAUGCAUGACGUCCCUAAUAUCCUUACACUGUGGAUUCCCCCCGGAGGAAGAUCUCGGUUCAUCUUCGCUGUUUACCAUUUCUGAGUUGCGGUCUGUGCAACAUCAAAAGGCUGCCAUGGCACUUAACACAGCUCGCAGGGUUCCUGGAGGGUUGGGGGACUGUCGGUCCCCAUGGUGUUGGCAUUAUUAUUGCUCCCUAGUGAGAAGUCCAUCUGAUGAUAGACAACCAUGCAAAUGUGCGCAUGCCUCUGCACUAAAUCAGACCACAGUACCACCCUGAAAUACCAUACACACAUAUAAACCCUGUUGCUUCAUUUGGUGUCUGUCUAUAAUUGUUAAAAACUCCCUCAGCUGUAACUUUAUUAGAAAGGAGCAAUAUCACGAGCCAGGAAGUGUCCAUCCAUACAGAGUCUUGUACUCUUAAGUUGUGCCAUGUCAACACACCGACUUGUUAAAGUGACAUCCUGUCAUGAGGAAUGUGGGUGAUGGAGGACUUUAGCUCAGAGAUACAGUUUGUUAAACCAAUGGCUUUAAUUUGAAGUGAGUAGCCGGUCAUUACUGUGCCAAUUGCAGUUCACAGAUACAGCAUGACGAACUGUAGAUCGGCUGAUUAGAAGUUAUUUGCAAGAGUCAAGAGGUUAAGCUGAUAUAAAGACAUUUUUCACUGAAGCACAGUGAAGCUUUACUCUGUGCUACCAUGGGAAACUGACGGCAGAGCAGUUUUAACUCUGGCAGGACAUCAGACCAAGACUGAGAACUUCGGUUUUCACCACUACACCAGAGGCGCAAAGCUCAAGAAGAAAGUCUUUCAAACAUCUAUAUGUGUUAUAGUAUCUAGAACCAGCAUAGUGAAAGAAUAAUCAACUGUUUUAAAGGGGCAACAUUUCUUUUAACUUAUAUUUUGGGGCAUUUUUUUGUCUUUAUGAUACACACUGAAAGAGAUAAAGGAAAUGUGGGGAGCAGAGAGUGACGGAAGACAAGCAGCAAAGGGAUGUGGUGGGAAAACAAACUAGUAACUGCUGUGAUGAGGACUAUUACUCAUAGACUGUAAAUACUAUAGACAACUUGGUUCCGCCUUUCGCCAGUAUACGGAUUUGAAGCCGAAAAGCUCUCGUAAUGUGGUAAUGCCGCACUUUUUCUCCACUUCCCGAAACCAACAUUACGCAGUAGCGUUGUACGCACUCCACCACUUGCGCAGUAGCAUUGUACGCAUUUGGUGGGUGAGUCGCGGAGAGUUGCUAUGAUGACGCUCAGCUCAAACAGCGUAUCCCCCGAGUGAGCUAUGCAAUCUUCGUACGCCCAUAGGCUGUAUCAAAUGUCAAUCAUAGUAAAACAUCAACCCCCUAAUAACUUUUAAAAAUUGAGCUGCACAGAAAAAAGAGGACUUGAGCACAAACCAGUCUUACAAUAACUACAUGUUAACAUCACAACCAGGGGGGAAAAAAAUGUAUAUUCUGUUUUAUAAAUUUCUAAAGUUUGUCCACAGCCCCAUAGGGAUUGCUGGAGGAGGCGGGAUUUAUGACCUAUAUUGCAGCCCAUCACUAGAGGGUGCUGUUCUCAGGGUGGCUUCACCCAGUGAGGAGGCAGACGCUGUCCAUUUUAUAUACAGUCUAUGCUAUUACCCCAAUACAAGGAGGACGUAAACUUCUUGGUCAUUGGCACCCAAAUCCCAACAACUUUUCCUUGAAACCAGAGAUUGUGCCAAAGGUAGAGACAGGAACGUCAACAUUCAUAAAAGCCUCAUCCAGUCUGUGUUUGAUGCAACUGAAGCUACGAGUCGUAGCACUAACUUAAAGCUGUCUGCUCAUUAGGAACCCUUUCUAAAGUGAAGCUGAAUGUUCAUCUAUAUGUAAAAAGUUGUGUUUCAACUCAGUUUCAGACAGAAGUGCACAGUCCUCUGAGAUACCUGUCAAUCAUCAUAAUUAACUUAGCGCCCGGACCACUUCCUAUAGCCAUUAAAACAAUUAUAUGAGCUUUUAGAGCAUGUUUUUUGUUCUGUUGCAUUUAUUUUUCACUUUCCUGAAUUUGCAGACAGUUUCUGAUUUUCAGCCAUUGCAAUGCUGUCACCCUUGUUACAGGAAAAUGAGGCUAUUAGGUUAAAAAUAUCCAAUUCAUUCAUCAUGGGGUUGUUGAAUUAUUUUAAGACUCUUCAAGAACUUGGACAUCACUUCUCAUCAGUUUUUUAAUGACUGUUAAGUGAUUGCAGAAAAGUUUUUUCAGGUGUUGAGCUUUCAGCUUAAAUGUGUGGCAGUACUUUGCAGGCACCAUUUACCAUCCACACUAUAGUAACUGCAAUGUUUUGUUUAUGUAGGUACUAGGCUGGCUGUCAAGCACAUUCCUUUUUAAUGAGACAUUAUUUGUCGCUCUACCCUUGCAUAAAGAAAGCGAUAAUUUUCUUUGUAUGUAAAAGUUUAACUAAAAUCUGCAUCGGGGGAUUUACCUUGAGAAGGAGAGUCACUCCUCUACAUGAAAUGGAUAUAACUGUUAGGAGAGGGUCAUCUCUUUAUCCUUGAGAAACUGAGAAUCCACUCAUUGGCUGGGCUUGAAAACCUGACUGACGCAAAUGGAUCAUUGGGAAUAGAAGUGUCCCAGCAGUAAUUAUGUUACAACGCCGCUGCCGCACACUACCACAGAGGUGGGAUGGGAUGGGCGCGGAGCUCUUCUUUUAGUCUUGUUUCCCUUACAUCUUUCCACAUAGUUAACACAGUUAUACCAUCUUCUACUAUCUCUCGCUCUCCCUCUCUUGUUGUCUUUCCGUGUCUUUUCAAACGGGCAAACUGCUGUUAAACCCCAAAAACACGUGAAGUGCAGAGGAAAGUUUUUGAUUUUCAUUUUUUUUUCCUGUCUGUUUAUGUCUCAUCCUCUACGUCUCAGUGAGGCCAAAAGUUGCAGAUCAUGUCACUUGUUUGUCAAUCUUUUGACUCUGCCUUACAGCCAAAGAAACCAAAUUAAGUUCCUUUCAUCCCCAGCUAUCCUUGGCUCUUUGGCUCUGACUCAGUUAAGAAAGAGACAUGAAAUUAAUGUAAUGUCAAUGGAGUUUUCUCAUGAAACCCCAAGGCACUUAGUCAAAGUCACCUUGUAUAGUCCUCUCAUCCCCUGACAGUACAGUGAGAGUGAGAUGGAGGAUGUCUGUCUGGUGAUGCUGUCAGUGUCUGACGUCCUUUGCUUAUUGGUUGCUGUAUCCAGGUGUUCAGAUGUUGUAGAUUGGAGACAUGUCUGGUGAUCGUCUGAAGAACAACAUCAUUUCCAUUCAGUGGGCUGUGUAGCGCUGCCUGUACGAUGAGACAUUUCCUCAGUGAGAGCAGGUUCAUCCUGUGGGGUUUUCUCUCCUUUUGAUGUCAUUUUGGAGGUGAUAAGUAGCUUUCUGUCUCCUGGUCCCUGUCUUACAACACCAUCCCCCAGCCCAAGCAA